Molecule: long non-coding RNA, 1132 nt
Organism: Orcinus orca (killer whale)
Lineage: Eukaryota; Metazoa; Chordata; Mammalia; Artiodactyla; Delphinidae
Exons: 2
Source: RefSeq, a predicted model, not a curated record
CUCUGACGACCUUCCAGUCGAGGAAGCUGCGGGAGGGAUGGCGGUGCGGACAUGUGCUGAGUUUCCCUCUCAUCUCGUGCUCGUCACUCGGCCCCCACAGGCAGGCACUGGAGGUGCUCCCAGCCAGCUGGGUCUGGCACGUGAGGAAGGGCGGCAGCCCCGGAAGCGGCUUGAAUCGCUGCCCCAGCUCACCAGAGUCCCUCUGCUGCAUCCCGCGUCACUUCUGAGUCUUGGCAAUUUUAUAAUUGGCCCAAUGGGUUAUGAUUUGAAACCAGAAGAGCCAAUUAGCAGGAAUCUCCUUUGACCUCCGGUUAGGGGUGGUAGGAGACGAGGUAAUGACUUGAGACAGAGGAAGAAAAAAACAAAACUAAACUAAAAAUAAAAAUAGAAAAUAGUAAGAGCAAAGACUUAAAUCUUUUUGGCUCUCUGAUUAAUAACCCUGUCAGGCCGAUCACAAGCUCUAAACAGCAAUGCUGGUUGCAGCUGAAUUUUUUAUAUUUUCUAUUAAUCUUUAAUGAUAGCUUGGUCACCUAGUCUCUUUUAUCUUGUCAGAUAAAUGUAUGGUUAACAGGAUAAUGAGAUUUCUAAAGCCCCAUUCCAGCUCCCAGCUCUCUAGUGCAUGUGGUGACCUCUGACCCCCGGCAGACAGCGACACCAGGGUGCUGAUAAUUGGUAGGUGUGCUGGGAAUGUAUUGGAAGCUGAAGGAUGGUUUAAACUUUGAUUUGAGGUCAGUGAGGUCACAGAGCUCUGGAAGACCAGCCCGGUUUUAUUACCAACUGCCUCUGAUGGGGAUAUAAUUAGAUUUAGCUAUUGCUUUAUUAAUAAGUAAUCGCUUCCCCCAUCGCUGUGGGUGGGCAAAUGUAUUCCUUGGAUAAUUUGCGGACACUAGUCUGGCUUUAUUAAUAAGAAUAUAUCAUGCAUAUUUGCCAUAUCAGGCACAGACACCCAUCUGGUUUGCUGGACUUUGGGGGGACUUUAUCAUUUUCACUCAUUUGCGUAUUGAAUAAAUCGGCCGUGCCUUGUGAAAUCUAUCCUUGCCUCGGUGACCUCGAACUCCCUGUUGUUGUAGGGAACCUCUGUUUUGACCUCUUUCUCAAUGACUGAAGAAUAAAAAAUAUGUAAAUAAUUUUA